GGAUGUGAGAGUGAUCUGGCUGCAACAUCUGUCACCCCAGUGAUUGCCAGGAUUGAUUCAGCUGAUCUCUGCUAGGUGGGUGGUCCUCUUCCGCUCUCACUGCCAUGUGCUUCCCUCCUGAAGCUGUGUGCUCAGUGGAAGAAGAGGGCCUUCCCUGAAUAGAGACGACUGGUCUUUAGUAGAGAGUAUAUGGGUAGCUGUGUUCUCCUGCUAGAACCUCCAAACAAGCUCACAAAUCGCUAGCAGCAUAACAAGGGAUUAACAGUCACUGUGCUUCACUUCAGGGCUUGAGGU
Non-coding RNA from Erinaceus europaeus (western European hedgehog), 294 nucleotides. The record is from Rfam. NCBI's taxonomy places the organism in Eukaryota, Metazoa, Chordata, Mammalia, Eulipotyphla, Erinaceidae.